This 101-nucleotide microRNA precursor is filed under the name Nomascus leucogenys (northern white-cheeked gibbon). RNAcentral describes it as "miRNA (ENSNLEG00000027417.1)". The record is from RNAcentral. Lineage: Eukaryota; Metazoa; Chordata; Mammalia; Primates; Hylobatidae.
UGAGGCAGGAGAAUUGCUUGAACCCAGGAAGCAGAGGUUGCAGUGAGCCGAGAUCACGCCACUAUACUCCAGCCUGGGUGACAGAGCGAGACUCCAUCUCA